GAUGAACGCUGGCGGCGUGCUUAACACAUGCAAGUCGAACGAAGCUGCCCAAAGGAAGUUUUCGGAUGGAAUUUAGGUAGACUUAGUGGCGGACGGGUGAGUAACGCGUGGAUAACCUGCCUUAUACAGGGGGAUAACGGAGAGAAAUUUCCGCUAACACCGCAUAAGACCACAGCACCGCAUGGUGCAGGGGUAAAAUAUUUAUAGGUAUAAGGUGGAUCCGCGUCCGAUUAGCUAGUUGGUGAGGUAAAGGCCACCAAGGCGACGAUCGGUAGCCGGCCUGAGAGGGUGAACGGCCACAUUGGGACUGAGACACGGCCCAAACUCCUACGGGAGGCAGCAGUGGGGAAUAUUGGACAAUGGGGGAAACCCUGAUCCAGCGACGCCGCGUGAGUGAAGAAGUAUUUCGGUAUGUAAAGCUCUAUCAGCAGGGAAGAAAAUGACGGUACCUGACUAAGAAGCCCCGGCUAACUACGUGCCAGCAGCCGCGGUAAUACGUAGGGGGCAAGCGUUAUCCGGAUUUACUGGGUGUAAAGGGAGCGCAGACGGCAAUGCAAGUCUGAAGUGAAAGGCGUGGGCUCAACCCAUGAACUGCUUUGGAAACUGUAUAGCUUGAGUGUCGGAGGGGUAAGCGGAAUUCCUAGUGUAGCGGUGAAAUGCGUAGAUAUUAGGAGGAACACCGGAGGCGAAGGCGGCUUGCUGGACGACAACUGACGUUGAGGCUCGAAGGCGUGGGGAGCAAACAGG
RNAcentral lists this ribosomal RNA (747 nucleotides) under uncultured Lachnospiraceae bacterium. RNAcentral's name for it is "bacterial SSU rRNA". It matches the Rfam family "Bacterial small subunit ribosomal RNA", at positions 28 to 776 of the family's 1533-position model. Lineage: Bacteria; Bacillati; Bacillota; Clostridia; Lachnospirales; Lachnospiraceae. The record is from RNAcentral.